GCGCGAGUGGCGGAAUUGGCAGACGCCCGGGUUUUAGGUACCCGUGUCUUCGGACGUGGGGGUUCGAGUCCCCCCUCGCGCACCA
This 85-nucleotide transfer RNA is filed under the name Rhodococcus rhodochrous. RNAcentral's name for it is "tRNA-Leu". It matches the Rfam family "tRNA". From Rfam's summary of the family: Transfer RNA (tRNA) molecules are approximately 80 nucleotides in length. Their secondary structure includes four short double-helical elements and three loops (D, anti-codon, and T loops). The record is from RNAcentral. Lineage: Bacteria; Bacillati; Actinomycetota; Actinomycetes; Mycobacteriales; Nocardiaceae. RNAcentral also lists the same sequence under 11 other names.